AUGACAAUGAACUAGCAGAGUCAAGUCCACAGCUUCACAAACUUAUCAUGACUAGCAGAAGCAACCAAUCGAGUCGCAUUUGAUACGGCCAAGGAAGCAAUUAAUCCUUCAUGAGCAGGAAGUGUCGUAGACUUGUUUUGGGUCAUGUUCCAAAGUUCCAAAGACUGAAGUAAAUGCCCAGAGUUGCAUAUCAGUCAUAGAAACCAUACCAGCAACAUAAUCAACAAAGAUUAUAGACAACAUUUUUAGGGUUAUCGCAAGAGUGGUCAACAAAUGAAGAUUCCUACUUGCCUGGUAACAGCCAAUGAUUAGCAAUGAAGGGUUUGUAGGAUGAAAAACACAGGAGUAGAAUUUGUUGCCUUUAGAACUCAACUCAUGAAUGCAUUCUCCCUUAUCCCCUGAUCCAACUGUCCAGAUUCUGACAAAGUCCUCACUCACAGAUGCUAUAUACUCGCCAGAAGGAUCCCAGCACAGAAAAUGAAUUGGUUUAACAUGUCCCUGU
Molecule: unclassified non-coding RNA, 502 nt
Filed under: Hevea brasiliensis (rubber tree)
Lineage: Eukaryota; Viridiplantae; Streptophyta; Magnoliopsida; Malpighiales; Euphorbiaceae
Source: RNAcentral